This 301-nucleotide ribosomal RNA is filed under the name uncultured bacterium. RNAcentral describes it as "partial 16S ribosomal RNA". It matches the Rfam family "Bacterial small subunit ribosomal RNA", at positions 509 to 808 of the family's 1533-position model. The record is from RNAcentral.
CAGCAGCCGCGGUAAUACGGAGGGUGCAAGCGUUGUCCGGAUUUAUUGGGUUUAAAGGGUGCGUAGGCGGCUACUUAAGUCAGCGGUGAAAGACUCCGGCUCAACCGGAGCAGUGCCAUUGAUACUGGAUAGCUUGAGUGUUGGAGGGGUACAUGGAAUUGAUGGUGUAGCGGUGAAAUGCAUAGAUACCAUCAGGAACACCGAUAGCGAAGGCAUUGUACUGGCCAACAACUGACGCUGAGGCACGAAAGCAUGGGGAGCGAACAGGAUAGAUACCCCAGUAGUCCCUGUCUCUUAUACA